UACGGGGGGGAGCAAGCGUUGUUCGGAUUUACUGGGCGUAAAGGGCGCGUAGGCGGCCUCUGCAAGUCGACUGUGAAAUCUCCGGGCUUAACCCGGAAAGGUCAGCCGAUACUGCAGGGCUAGAGUGCAGAAGGGGCAACUGGAAUUCUCGGUGUAGCGGUGAAAUGCGUAGAUAUCGAGAGGAACACCUGCGGCGAAGGCGGGUUGCUGGGCUGACACUGACGCUGAAGCGCGAAAGCUAGGGGAGCGAACGGG
This 255-nucleotide ribosomal RNA is filed under the name uncultured bacterium. Its description in RNAcentral is "partial 16S ribosomal RNA". It matches the Rfam family "Bacterial small subunit ribosomal RNA", at positions 524 to 776 of the family's 1533-position model. The record is from RNAcentral.